UACGUAGGGUGCGAGCGUUGUCCGGAAUUAUUGGGCGUAAAGAGCUUGUAGGCGGUUUGUCGCGUCUGCUGUGAAAAUCCGGGGCUCAACCCCGGACUUGCAGUGGGUACGGGCAGACUAGAGUGUGGUAGGGGGAGACUGGAAUUCCUGGUGUAGCGGUGAAAUGCGCAGAUAUCAGGAGGAACACCAAUGGCGAAGGCAGCACUCUGGGACGGUACUGACGCUGAGACGCGAAAAGCGUGGGGGAGCAAACAGG
This 256-nucleotide ribosomal RNA is filed under the name uncultured bacterium. Its description in RNAcentral is "partial 16S ribosomal RNA". It matches the Rfam family "Bacterial small subunit ribosomal RNA", at positions 524 to 776 of the family's 1533-position model. The record is from RNAcentral.